This 300-nucleotide ribosomal RNA is filed under the name uncultured bacterium. RNAcentral's name for it is "bacterial SSU rRNA". It matches the Rfam family "Bacterial small subunit ribosomal RNA", at positions 114 to 453 of the family's 1533-position model. The record is from RNAcentral.
GACAGAGGUUAUCUACCUUUUAGUACAGUAUAAAUCCUGUAUAGUUUAUAAAGAUUAAUUAUCGCUAAAAGAUGAGCCUACGUGGGAUUAGGUAGUUGGUUUUGUAAAAGGGGACCAAGCCUACGAUCCCUAGCUGAUUUGAAAGAAUGAUCAGCCACAUUGGGACUGAGACACGGCCAAACUUAAUAAUAAGGCAGCAGUGGGGAAUUUUGGACAAUGAGCGAAAGCUUGAUCCAGCAAUACUAUGUGAGUGAUUGAAGGCUAUUUGGUCGUAAAGCUCUUUUAUCAAAGAGGAAUAAA